This 492-nucleotide ribosomal RNA is filed under the name uncultured bacterium. RNAcentral's name for it is "partial 16S ribosomal RNA". It matches the Rfam family "Bacterial small subunit ribosomal RNA", at positions 29 to 507 of the family's 1533-position model. The record is from RNAcentral.
AGUGAACGCUGGCGGUAGGCCUAACACAUGCAAGUCGAACGGCAGCACAGUAAGAGCUUGCUCUUACGGGAGGCGAGUGGCGGACGGGUGAGGAAUACAUCGGAAUCUACUUUUUCGUGGGGGAUAACGUAGGGAAACUUACGCUAAUACCGCAUACGACCUACGGGUGAAAGCAGGGGAUCUUCGGACCUUGCGCGAUUGAAUGAGCCGAUGUCGGAUUAGCUAGUUGGCGGGGUAAAGGCCCAUCAAGGCGACGAUCCGUAGCUGGUCUGAGAGGAUGAUCAGCCACACUGGAACUGAGACACGGUCCAGACUCCUACGGGAGGCAGCAGUGGGGAAUAUUGGACAAUGGGCGCAAGCCUGAUCCAGCCAUACCGCGUGGGUGAAGAAGGCCUUCGGGUUGUAAAGCCCUUUUGUUGGGAAAGAAAAGCAGCAGGUUAAUACCCCGCUGUUCUGACGGUACCCAAAGAAUAAGCACCGGCUAACUUCGUG